This 425-nucleotide ribosomal RNA is filed under the name uncultured bacterium. RNAcentral's name for it is "bacterial SSU rRNA". It matches the Rfam family "Bacterial small subunit ribosomal RNA", at positions 917 to 1344 of the family's 1533-position model. The record is from RNAcentral.
GGGCCCGCACAAGCGGUGGAGCAUGUGGUUUAAUUCGAUGAUACGCGAGGAACCUUACCAGGGCUUAAAUGUUAGGUGACAGAUCUAGAAAUAGAUUUUUCUUCGGACACUUAACAAGGUGCUGCAUGGUUGUCGUCAGCUCGUGCCGUGAGGUGUCAGGUUAAGUCCUAUAACGAGCGCAACCCCUGUUGUUAGUUGCCAGCGAGUAAUGUCGGGAACUCUAGCAAGACUGCCAGUGCAAACUGUGAGGAAGGUGGGGAUGACGUCAAAUCAUCACGGCCCUUACGUCCUGGGCUACACACGUGCUACAAUGGUAGGUACAGAGAGCAGCCAAUGCGCGAGCAUGAGCAAAUCUAUAAAACCUAGUCGUAGUCCGGAUCGGAGUCUGCAACUCGACUCCGUGAAGUCGGAAUUGCUAGUAAUCG